Long non-coding RNA from Aedes albopictus (Asian tiger mosquito), 624 nucleotides. RefSeq lists it as uncharacterized. Lineage: Eukaryota; Metazoa; Arthropoda; Insecta; Diptera; Culicidae. The transcript is spliced from 2 exons. The record is from RefSeq and is a predicted model, not a curated record.
AUAGUAAAACUAAGUAUGGGAUGAGGUUCGAAAAUACUAUAAAAUGUAAACAUAAAGCGACAUGGUAAAUUGAACCCCGCACAUGGUAAUUUCAAGCAGGAAGCAUAGUCUACCAAAAUCAAGUGGUAAAAGUGUUUUAAGUUGACCCUCGAUCCGGUCAUAAUUACUAUGUCCUUUUUUUCAGUGCAGGGAUGCCACACGGUUGUUUGUAAAAACCCAUCGAUGAGUAAAAAAAUACUCAUUUUUGAAAAAGAUGCAGUUCUGUCAAAACAUGGGUAAAACGGAUAUCACGAAAAGGGUAAAAAAAUACCCGUUGUUGAAAACAGCUUUGCUACCCAUUAAUGGGUGAAAAAUAGUUGUGAACAUUUUUACAAACACGCCACAUUUUGGUCUCGUUAGCUGAACAGGACUGAACAUUUUCCUGCAACCAAAAUAGGAAUAAAAUGGCAGAGAUAAAAGAAAUAUAGCAACAAGAAUGAUGACAUCUGCGACGAUUGGCGAACCAUCCUGGAAGCGGCACCAUCAAGGGCACCAUCCUCAUCAAUAAUUGGAAUUUCGAACAAUUUAAUUAUCAAAUAUGUGAUUGACAAUCAUCUCUGUAAUAAAAAUAAUAGGAGGAAUAUA